This 65-nucleotide transfer RNA is filed under the name Eboraphyllus middletoni. Its description in RNAcentral is "tRNA-His". It matches the Rfam family "tRNA". Rfam says of the family: Transfer RNA (tRNA) molecules are approximately 80 nucleotides in length. Their secondary structure includes four short double-helical elements and three loops (D, anti-codon, and T loops). The record is from RNAcentral. Lineage: Eukaryota; Metazoa; Arthropoda; Insecta; Coleoptera; Cerambycidae.
AUUUAAAUAGUUUAAUUAAAGCAUUAGUUUGUGGUGCUAAAGAUAUAACAUGGUUAUUUUAAAUA